GGGGGGGACGGUGGGGGAACAAGGGGGUGGGACUGGGGAAGCUUCUGAGAACAUUUGCCCUAGGUAUUCAGCUAAACUAAGAAAAAUUGGUCCAAGGCUCGGCACAAAAGGAUCUUUUCAUUCCAGUCCUUUCGCCCACGCAGGGAACGAUGCCUCUGGAGGUGGUGGUGGAGCUGCAGAUCCGGGCGAUUUCUUGCCCAGGAGUGUUCCUGCCUGGCAAACAAGAUGUGUACCUCGGGGUCUACCUCAUGAAUCAGUACCUGGAGACAAACAGCUUUCCCUCUGCGUUCCCCAUUAUGAUUCAGGAGAGCAUGAGAUUUGAAAAGGUAUUUGAAAGUGCAGUAGAUCCUGGAGCUGUAGUAGACCUUUUGGAAAGCUUCCUAACCAGGUUUGAAUUAAUACAGCUAGUUCCUCCAGUGUGGGAUGAGUUGGCCUACUAUGAAGAAAACACACGAGAUUUUCUUUUCCCAGAGCCCAAGCUGACACCUUCGCACCCUAGGAGGUGUAGGGAGGUGCUCAUGAAGACGGCUCUGGGUUUUCCAGGCAUUGCUCCCAAAAUAGAGUUUUCUACAAGGACAGCCAUCAGAGAAUGUGUGUUUCUGCAUAGAAACAGAUUUCUUGUAAGUACAAUACAAAUCUAGUGAUAGAAAUGACCGGAUUUUUUUUUUCAAAUUUAAAGAAUUUUUGCCCAUACUCAGUUUAUCAAGUUUACAUGAAACUAAACAAGUAGAAACCUGGAAAGUUUUUACUAGGUUUGAAUUUCUAUAAUUCAAACUGUUUGCUCAGCCAGUCAUAUUAGAGUAUGUUUGGUACAUAUGUUUGGCAGCAUGAUGUAGCUGGAAGCAGGGUGAUUCAGAAGCUAAAAUUACAAAUUUGAUGUAAGUGAGCUAAUUAGCUUUUGUUAUUGUUGUUCUAUGACAUUUACUUGUGAUCUUAUGAACAACAGUUUCCAUCUUUCUUUUUUAAAAAUUUAAAAAUUUUAGGCUGGGCAUGGUGGCACUUUGGGAGGCCGAGGCAGGUGGAUCACCUGAGGUCAGGAGGUAGAGAACAGCCUGGGCAACAUGGUGAAACCCCACCUCUACCAAAAAUACAAAAAGUAGCUGGGCAUGGUGGCGUGUGCCUGUAGUCCCAGCUACGGGGGAGGCUGAGGCAUGCAAAUCGCCUGAGCCUGGGAGGUCAAGGCUGCAGUGAGCCAAGAUGGCUCCACUGCACUCCAGCCUGGGUGACAGAGUGAGACUCCAUCUCAGAAAAAAAUAAUAAUAAAAUAAAUAAAUAAAUAAUAAAAAUAAAAUAAAAAUUUAGAAAUUUUAAUUUUUUAUGGAUACGUAGUACCUGUAUAUAUUUAUGGGGUACAUGAGAUAUUUUGAUAUAGGCAUACAGUAUGUAAUAAUCACAUCAAGGUAAAUGGUGUAUCCAUCACCUAAAACAUUUAUCUUUUGAGUUACAAACAAUCCAAUUAUAUUCUUUUAGUUAUUUUAAAAUUUACAGUUAAAUUAUUAUCGACUAUAGUCACCCUGUUGUUCUAUCAAAUACUAGAUCUUAUUCAUUCUUUCUAUUUUUUUUUUUUUGUACCCUUUAACCAUCCCCACUCCCCCUCAGCCCCCAUGACCCUUCCCAGCCUCUGGUAACCAUCAUUCUACUCUCUGUCUCCAUGAGUUCAAUUGUUUUAAUCUUUAGCUCCCACAAAUAAGUGAGAAUAUAUAAAGUUUGUCUUUCUGUGCCUGGCUUAUUUCACUUGAUAUAACGGCCUCAACUUCCAUCCAUGUUGUUGCAAGACAUAAAAAAUAAUGGCUGAAUAGCACUCCAUUAUGUGUAUGUAAUAUAAUUUCUUUAUCCAUUCAUCUGUUGAUGGACACUUAGGUUGAUUCCAAAUCUUGGCUAUUGUGAAUAGUGCUGCAGUAAACAUGGGGCCACCUUUCUUUUGCUGAGGCUGAUGCUCAGAUUGUAUUCAUGGUCCAUCUUUGGUAAGCGUGAAGUGUCUUAGGGCAUCCAUGUGUACUACCUCAAUUUUACUUUCUUCUUCAGUCCUAGUGUCUGUCUCCCUCACCCCAAUUUCUUUCUGUUUUGCUUUUACCUUAUUGCAUAUAAUGUUGUUGCCACUUAAAAUCCUUUCUAGAACAAGAUGGAGAAGGAAUAAAGGUAGUUUGUGAAGCUUCUCCAAAUACUUUGGGACAGGGUAGAGUAAAACCUGUAAGUGAAACAAAAUGCUUAUCCCAGAUCUCAUGUAUGGUCCUAGAAAAGACCUUGAAAAUGUGGGCUGUAUGUUACAGAAUACUUAAUGAGAAAGAAGGGCCAAUAAUCUGUGCAAAUCUAUCAAAACUCUUAGCUAAAUAACUCAUAUAAUGGGAGACCAAUGAUGAAUUUUAAGGAAGGCAUUAUCUGCUUUUUAGUUUUGCCUUAUUUAUCCUCUCUUCUCUCCAAUUUAUUUGUGAUGUGUUCAUAGCAAUUUUUCAGUGUUUCUUUCUCUUCCAUUCUACCAUUUUAAUGCUGUUUUAACUUCCUAGGUCCUUCUUUCAGUGUUAACUUUUUAAACAAAUAGUUUUAUUGUUUUUUUUCUUGAACUCCUGGCCUCAAGAGAUCCUCUGCUUCAGCCUCCCAACGUGUUGGGAUUACAGGCAUGAGCCACCGCACUGUCUGUUUUUUUUUUUCCUUAAAACAAAAGUAUCACUUUAUUUUAGAAAAUUAGAAAACAAAGAUAAAUAAGCAAAAAGGACCCAAAACUUAAAAAAACUGUCUCAUUCUUGCCAUUUAGAGAUCAGCAUUAAUUUUUUUAGUAUAUUCUGUACACACAUCACACUUUUAAAAAAGAUUGAGAUCACGCUGCAUUGCAUAUUAUUUUGUACCCUUCUUUUUUUUACUUAAUUUAUCAUAAACAUUUUCUCAUGUCCUCAGGUAUUCUUGUGCCAGACAAUUUUUCAUGGCUUCAUAGUAUUCCAUUGUAUGGAAGUACUGUAAUCUGUCUGGCCAUUCAUUUUCCUUUUGUUGAGCACUUAACUGAUACAUCAGCCAGGGUCCAGUCAGGAAACCACACCAAACUUGUGACUGUAACAGAAAGAUUUAAUUUUUAAAAAUGGCUAAACAGGGGUUGAAAGAAAGACUGAAAGAUAAAAGGGGAACACUGAAAUGACAGAGUAACUGCAGGAAGCAGCUUCCACCCCUAGGGCUGGGGAAACAAGGGGAAGAUGUUGGUUCAGCAAGAACACAGAGGCUUAAAGAAGAAACUGAACAGAAAUGGGACCCAGACCUCUGGAGAAGGGCUGCUUUCCUGGAUGCUUCUUCAGGAAUUCGAAGGUGGGACUUGGAUGAGCUGGAACUCAGAUCUCAAAGGAGGGGCACUGCUCACUGCUGGUGCCACAGGAGUUUGGAGGAAGGUUCCUGUGGGUGUAGACUCAAAUCUGAACAGGGGGCUCUGGUCAGCUGCUGCUGCUAUGUCUGGAGGAGUGCAGUGGGGCUAGUCCUGGCGUAAUCAGGGAAAGGCUAUAAUCUGGAGCCAUUUGCAGCUGUUAAGGCGAAGAAUGGUUGCAGGAAUGAUGCUAACAGGAAUAGAAUGCAAAACUGGAAGUAGCCAGUCACUGUAUCUCCUCCAGCCUUGCACUUUCUCUAGCACCUUCCAGUGGCAGAGCCUACAGAGACCAGGUGGAAAAGCAAAAAAGGGAAUUUGUAGAGUCCCUGGACCAGUAUUAUAUAGCUGAGGUGGAUUUGCAACUGAGCGCAAUUGCUUACUCACCAAUACAGCUGGUUUCUAACUUUUAAACUAUCAUAAGCAUUUUUGUAGCUAUACAUAUAGCCAUAGUUAUUUCCUUAUAAUACAUUCCUGGAAGUGAAAUUGCUAGACCCCUCUAUGUGUCAAAUUCUCUAUUAUCUAUCUAUUGGAGGUGUCUGACACUUUCUAACUUCCCCCUAUUAUAAAUAAAUCUCACUGUUAAUAAGUUGAAUACAUUAUACUAGCAAGUUAUAAAUACUACUGAUGUUAAACUGAACAGGAAAAAAAUUAGAGAAAUGUCCUUUCUUAAGUUUAUGUUUUAUAAAUCUGAGGUGUGUUAUCUUUGACCUUAAUUUUUAAAAAUUCAAUUAAAUACA
This 4080-nucleotide small RNA is filed under the name Pan troglodytes (chimpanzee). RNAcentral describes it as "retained intron". The record is from RNAcentral. Lineage: Eukaryota; Metazoa; Chordata; Mammalia; Primates; Hominidae.